CAAGAAGAUAAAAUACAUAAGUCUCGGCCGCUGAAAAUAUUAUGAGUCACCAAUUAGCGAUACACUACAAAAUAAUAUGAAAAGGUGCAGUAUGGUUAUAAUGAUCUGGUUAGUUUGUGAAAAACAUCGUUUGUUACAUCAAGAUGAAGUUUUAUGCCAUAUUAAUAAUCGUAUAUUGCACUGAUGUAAGCUCAAGAACGGCAUAUCCAGCAAAUAUCGGAAAUGGAAAUACAGCCGUCUCAAAUUUAUUGGAUGAAAAGAAUAUCGGGAAUUAUCUGCUAAAAAGGAACUUUACAGAUCCAAUCAUUAAAACUGGCUCCACUGUAGAUGCAGAUCGGAUUCACAAUCGUGUAAAGCGCCAGUUUGGAUAUGACCCAUAUUAUGAUCCGUAUUACCGUCGUCGGUUACCUUUACCCAUCGUACCAGGUGGACUUUUUGGUGCAGGCAUCGUAGUGGGACGCAGCUAUGGAAGUUUUGGACGGUUUGGAGGAAGGGGAUUUGGUGGUCGGGGUUUUGGUGGCCGCGGAGGAGGUUUCGGAGGCCGCGGAGGUUUCGGAGGCCGUGGUGGAGGUUUUGGAGGCCGUGGUGGAGGAUUUGGAGGUGGUCGUGGUGGACGUGGUUAAAUGAAAUAUUUGAAUUUUAAGUGAUUUUAUUUCUGUGAAUCUAUAAUAUCUUAUUGUAUUUAACGAUUAUUUUUGUAAUACAAAGUUUCAGGUCCAAAUCAUGUAUCAAGUAUGAGAAAUUUUUGUCUAACUUUACCAAUACUCAUGUGGUUUGUACAACUUUGAGCCUCUUACGUCUAAACCAUGCCAGCGCCAAAGAAUAUAUAGGUAAUAGAGCCAAUUUUUCUAGGUAAACUAAGAAUUAGGGACCAUUCUCUUUGUUAUUGUGGCCUUGAUUGAUGAUGGAAACUUAGAUCAUUUGUUCUCCAGUUGUACUUUUAUGCAUUCUUCUUUGUACAAGUAUAUACCCCCUGAAAUUCCCCGUCCGAAAAUAUAUUAAAACAAAUAGGAUUAUAUAGCACAUAUCAAUAAGUACAUAAUCUCUGGCACGAGACGAUGUCUGUGCCAGAGUUUGACGAGUCAACAUCUCCUGAGGAUGCCUCGUGAAGAGGCGAAAUACGUAUCGAAUUGUUUAAAGACAAGUACUGGCGGAAUUAACACUAAAGAAAACUCUAAACAUUUGAAUAAUAAUACAAAUGUAUUUUAAGUGCAAUAAACUGUUUUCAUUAAAUUAAAAAGUAGGUACCUACAAAUGAAAUGGCGAAAAACCCAAAUUGUUCAGUUAUAAGCUAAUAGUUAUACGAUUAAGUAAUUGUGGUUUGCAAAGUGAUGUCAAAGUGCCAUUAUUAAUACCUAUUUAAAUUGUGUAAAGUAUCUAUACCAAACGUUGUUUAUUUUGUUUAGAUAUCCGAGGUGUAAGAUAUAAAGGUGCGUACAAAUUACGCGCGGCAGUACCGCGAGCCCAUGUUCGAGCCAAGUUGACCUUCCUUUGCCGCGCGAGCCAAUAUUGAUAUAAAAUUAGUAGAACACAUUGCCGCGCGCAGCGAUCCAGCUUUAACAGCUCGCGGCAACUAGACAGACCAGUUCAUUCUUGUAAACCAAAUUAGCAAUAACUUUAAAAUUUCUGGCACCUCCUCCUUCCAUACUAGCCUGCAAUACCUUUUUCGAGUAUCAAAACAGUCUAUUUUAUUGUCAAUUGGCCAUUUUACGUAUUCGCUGCGGGCGCCAAUACUACUUAAGACCGUUUAUUGCGCACGAAUGACAGAAGCUCCUCUGAAGCGGUCUCAAAAACCGACAGCGACCCCGCGGCACGUUCGAGCGCGACAAUGUUCGCGUCGCGUUGCCACGCGCGAUAUGUACGCACCUUAAGCAUUACCCCUUGAUAAGUAAACGAUGCUGUGAAAGCAGCUAAAAUUUUUUUAUAGUUGAUUCUUCUACUUUAUAUUAUAAUAAUGAUUUUUGCCUUUUCCAUCUUGCUGUUUUUCCGUUCGAGAUGUUCUUCUCUCUCACACUCUUUGUUCGUCUAUACGCUUGGAUAUUGUAUGAACUAAGAACGUAAAACUAGCUAUAGUUUAUUCUUCUACUCUAUAUUUUUAUAUUGUUGUAUAUAAAUUAUGACGCUGUAGAUUACGUGAAAAUAAGUAAAGUAAAUAAAAUAUGCAAUAUUAUUUCACUAUGUAUUUACGAUCGAAUCUUUUUACUGUGUAUCUGUAUGUCUGCGUAAUUAUUCUGUACCUGUAACGUUAUUUGUACCACAACUGUAUCCACCUGUGUCGUUUAUCGUUUCUACAUCUACUUUACAAAAUUCUUACGACAGACUAGACCACGCAUGGCCGAAACAGUUGAGCCUAGAAACGUAAAAUGCUAGAAGUCUUUAUUUUAUUUUCCAGGGCUUUGCAGCUGAAUCUUAGCAAAGUCCGCAGAAGAUUCUUCAUUUAAUGCAAAGAAUCUAUUUGCCAUUCGACAAUCAUUGCAGAUUAUAAACAAAGUUAACUUCUGUAGAAGACAAUCCACCAUUGUAUUUUUGUGUUCUGCACAUAUGAGCUGGAUGGAAAAUAUGGCCAUAUCUUGAUAUCAUUGAGAAAGAUGGCCAUCUUUUUCUGUCUUUGAAAAAAAAAACAAAUAUAACAGCUAUAAAUAUUUUAUUUAACUUAAAACACUUUGUUUUGAAACAUUUUGAUAAUUAACGUAUCACUUUUUUAAUGGAUCUCUUCGACAAUAAAUUAUUUCUGUACUUUCUUCUGUUUUUCCUUCAAUUUCUGCGUGUACUUUUAAAAUGGCGGAUACUGUGUUGUUCAUAUUAUUUCUGCAGCAAACUGCCCUUAUUUUUACUCUCCCCGUUUACUCUCCAGCACUAAUUCACCACCUUUGUGAUCGAUUCAAAGACGUGCAGAACCGGGAGCCCAUUCUUCAAGUCUUCAGUAAACCUUAUUUGUGGGACCUAGGUCCAUAUACCAUACUAAGAACUAUAGACGUAGAAUAUACUAACUUAUAGACAACGUGACAGCCCUUUAAUAUGUUACUAAUUAUUUAUUUAGACUAUGUUGACAUCUAUUUGUAUAACAAAAAGCCAUAUACUACUUUUCACAUACAUGAUUCUAAUUAGUUUAAAAAAUAGAGUUUCGAGAUUUAACAUUAUAUUACAUUAGUUCUAAUUAUAGAUUUUUUUUUAGAAUUAGUGUUUAUUUUAAUAUAUAAUAACUACAUUUUUGUUAGUAUUUUACACGGGGUUCAAGAUACAGCAAGAAGUUUACAUUUACAAAAUAUAAUUACAGUUAAUUAGUUAUUAUUAAUAAUUAACUGUAAUUUAUUUUACAUUAUUAAGUUAGUAAUUUUAAUGAAAGAAUACUUCGAUACUUCAGGGAGAAAGUAUGAUCUGGUUAUCAGAGGGCCUACCAUCAAAUUUAAAUAAGCAAUGCGAUUCCGAUGCAGUUCAGUUUAGGUACCUAAAUUGAAUCGCUAAAAUUCGUACCAUGAAAUGCCUUUUGGAUCGCAUAUGAAGAAUGAACGAAAUAAAUUUAUCUGUGGUCCGCCGUGUGAGAAAGAGAUGACGCUCUACAGUCAUUGCAUAAGUUUGUCUCUCGUACUCGAACCAUAUGCGUUGCGUUUCGAAACCUAAAAUGAUAUGAUUUUAGCGGAUUUUUGCAUAGAAAAUAAUAAAAAUACAUUUUAAAAUUGCGCUUUAUAGCGUCAAAUUAUAAACCAUUAAGCCCUUUUUUGUACUUAUUAAAUAAUAGUAAUAUAAAUAAAUAUAGUUCUUUGAUUUACAAAUUAAAUGUAUGCUUAGGUGUUUUCGUAAAAAUAACGAGUUAUGAACGCACCAUUGAUGUUUGAUUUGACAGGAGCACAGAGUAUUUUUUUUUAAAUUCAUUAAUUCAAUUUUAAGUAUUCUCAUCUCAUCUUUCAUCAAUAAAAUUUUCCUUUUUUUUUAAUUUGACGUCAACCUAAAUGAGAUAGCUCUAAUCACGUCGUGGUACGAAAUAGCAAAGCAGUUCAUUUUAGGUUGUCAAUUGAAUCGCAGUAAGAGUUCAUGGUAGGCCCGUAAUUGCCAGAUUGCACUAGAUUUAGUUAAAAACAAGUCAAUUUGGGGGUAAGCAUUUGUAAGUUCAUUAAAUUUGACACUUGUACGGAUGAAGAAGGAAUUACGGCAAUAGAAUGAAUUAUAAAUUGGAACAUUAUUAUAUGAUUUAUAUAACGAUUUGCUAAAUAUGUGUGUUAGCUAGUUGUAUUAAACAAUUUGCUUUGUUUUAAAGUGAUAGCCCUAUCUUCUGGGAUUAAUUACACAAUACAAUACUGAAAACAAAAUUUUAUGAACAAUGCGGAACUAACCCGCGACCUCUCGCGUUCCGUGCGAGCGCUCUUUCCAACUGAACAAACCGUUCGAGUGACGUAUCGUUUUUACAAUCUUGUAUGCUUUGUUCAACUCUGAGGUUGUGGCUUCAUCUACGGGAUCUAUUUAUCAGUUGAUAACCUGCUCAACGCCAAUAAUUGCAUAUUAGGAUAUUGACUAUAUAUGUAUAUAGCAAUAUAUAUUUGCAAGAGCGACAUUAUGUCGCUCUUGCAAAUCUAAACGGUUGGCUGGAGGUCGUGGGUUCGAGUCCCGCAUCGAUCAUAAAAAAAAUAUUUUCACUUUUAUUGGUGGUUUUAUUCAAAAUUGUAAGAAGCUAAUGCCAAACGAGGCUCACUGUUUACAACUUGCCAAUCAAAAUCGGUUUUAUAGUAACAAUAAGAUUCGCUGUCCUUUUCUAUCUUGCUGUAUCUCCGUUAGAGAUGUUCGUCUCUCUCACACUCUCUGUUCAUCUAUAUCCUAGUAUAUUGUAAGUCUAAACUAAGAACGGUAAAACUUGCUAUAGUUUACAUGAAAAUAAGUACUUAAAUAAAAUAAGUAAUCUUUCGAA
Molecule: long non-coding RNA, 4900 nt
Organism: Leptidea sinapis
Lineage: Eukaryota; Metazoa; Arthropoda; Insecta; Lepidoptera; Pieridae
Exons: 4
Source: RefSeq, a predicted model, not a curated record